RNAcentral lists this ribosomal RNA (429 nucleotides) under uncultured bacterium. Its description in RNAcentral is "bacterial SSU rRNA". It matches the Rfam family "Bacterial small subunit ribosomal RNA", at positions 520 to 953 of the family's 1533-position model. The record is from RNAcentral.
GUAAACGUAGGGGCAAGCNUAUCCGGAAUUACUGGACGUAAAGGUGCGUAGGCGNUAGAUAAGUNGUGGUUCAAAGGCAGCAGNUCAACUGUUGUUCGGCCACGAAACUAUUUAACUUGAGUAUAGGAGAGGAAAGUGGAAUUCCCAGUGUAGCGGUGAAAUGCGUAGAUAUUGGGAGGAAUACCGGUGGCGAAGGCGACUUUCUGGACUAAAACUGACGCUGAGUCACGAAAGCAUGGGUAGCAAACAGGAUUAGAUACCCUGGUAGUCCAUGCUGUAAACGAUGAGUGCUAAGUGUUAGGGGGUUUCCGCCCCUUAGUGCUGCAGCAAACGCAUUAAGCAUUCCACCUGGGGAGUACGGCCGCAAGGUUGAAACUCAAAGGAAUUGACGGGAGCCCGCACAAGCAGUGGAGUAUGUGGUUUAAUUCG